RNAcentral lists this ribosomal RNA (253 nucleotides) under uncultured bacterium. RNAcentral describes it as "partial 16S ribosomal RNA". It matches the Rfam family "Bacterial small subunit ribosomal RNA", at positions 524 to 776 of the family's 1533-position model. The record is from RNAcentral.
GACGAACCGAGUGAACGUUGUUCGGAAUAACUGGGCUUAAAGGGCGCGUAGGCGGGCCGCCAAGUUCGAGGUGAAAUCCUCCGGCUCAACCGGAGAACUGCCUCGAAUACUGGAGGCCUCGAGGCGGGUAGGGGCGUGCGGAACUGUGGGUGGAGCGGUGAAAUGCGUUGAUAUCCACAGGAACUCCGGUGGCGAAGGCGGCACGCUGGACCCGAUCUGACGCUGAGGCGCGAAAGCCAGGGGAGCAAACGGG